RNAcentral lists this ribosomal RNA (446 nucleotides) under uncultured bacterium. RNAcentral's name for it is "bacterial SSU rRNA". It matches the Rfam family "Bacterial small subunit ribosomal RNA", at positions 330 to 793 of the family's 1533-position model. The record is from RNAcentral.
UCCAGACUCCUACGGGAGGCAGCAGUGGGGAAUAUUGCACAAUGGGGGAAACCCUGAUGCAGCGACGCCGCGUGAGUGAAGAAGUAAUUCGUUAUGUAAAGCUCCAUCAGCAGGGAAGAAAAUGACGGUACCUGAGUAAGAAGCCCCGGCUAACUACGUGCCAGCAGCCGCGGUAAUACGUAGGGGGCAAGCGUUAUCCGGAUUUACUGGGUGUAAAGGGAGCGUAGACGGCAGUGCAAGUCUGGAGUGAAAGGCGGGGGCUCAACCCCCGGACUGCUUUUGAAACUGUAUGGCUAGAUUGCAGGAGAGGCAAGUGGAAUUCCUAGUGUAGCGGUGAAAUGCGUAGAUAUUAGGAGGAACACCAGUGGCGAAGGCGGCUUGCUGGACUGUAAAUGACGCUGAGGCUCGAAAGCGUGGGGAGCAAACAGGAUUAGAUACCCGCGUAC